GAUGAAGAACGCAGCGAAAUGCGAUACUUGGUGUGAAUUGCAGAAUCCCGUGAACCAUCGAGUCUUUGAACACAAGUUGCGCCCGAAGCCACUAGGCCGAGGGCACGCCUGCCUGGGCGUCACACGCCGUUGCCCCCCCAUCUACUCCUUCGGGAUUGCGGGGGGGCGGAUGAUGGCCUCCCGUGCGUGCCUGCGCGCGCGGUUAGCCCAAAAGCGAGUCCUCGGCGACGAGCGCCACGACAAUCGGUGGUUUUUUUACCCUCGUUCCUCGUCGUGCGUGUCCCGUCGCCCGAACGCGCUCUUGCGACCCUCACGCGUCGCCUCGGCGGCGCUCCCAACGCGACCCCAGGUCAGGCGGGACUACCCGCUGAGUUUAAGCAUAUCAAUAAGCGGAGGA
Molecule: unclassified non-coding RNA, 397 nt
Filed under: soil metagenome
Description: partial contains 5.8S ribosomal RNA, internal transcribed spacer 2, and large subunit ribosomal RNA
Rfam family: 5.8S ribosomal RNA (bases 1-122)
Source: RNAcentral